This 1254-nucleotide long non-coding RNA is filed under the name Nicotiana tabacum (common tobacco). RNAcentral's name for it is "long non-coding RNA (NTAB_LNC012591)". Lineage: Eukaryota; Viridiplantae; Streptophyta; Magnoliopsida; Solanales; Solanaceae. The record is from RNAcentral.
AUUGCCAAAACUUGAACUGUAUUCCUUGUUCUCCAGGUGGUCCAGGUAAACGCCUGAUUGCCAAAACUUGAACUGUAUUCCCUUUUUCUCCAGGUGGGCGCCUGAUUGCCAAAAACUUGAACUAUUUUCCCUUUUUCUUCAGGUGGGUGCCUGAUUGUCAAAAACAUGAACUAUAUUCCCUUGUUCUCCAGGUGGGUGCUUGAUUGCCAAAAACUUCAACUGUAUUCCCUUGUUUUUUAGGUGGGCACCUGAUUGCCAAAACUUGAACUAUAUUCCUAUGUUCUCCAAGUGGCCGCCUGAUUGCCAAAACAUGAACUGUAAUCCCUUUUUCUCCAAGUGGUUGCCUGAUUGCUAUAAACUCGAAAUGUAUUCCAUUGUUUUCCAAGUGGGCAACGGAUUGCCAAAGCUUGAACUAUAUUCCCUUGUUCUCCAGGUGGGUGCCUGAUUGCUAAAAACUUGAACUAUAUUCCUUUGUUAUCCAGGUGGACGCCUGAUUGCCAAAAACAUGAACUGUAUUCCCUAGUUUUUUAGGUGGGCACCUGUUUGCCAAAACAUGAACUGUAUUCCCUUGUUCUUCAGGUGGGCACCUAAUUGCCAAAACAUGAACUUUAUUCCCUUGUUCUCCAGGUGGGCGCCAAAUUGCCAAAACUUUAAUUGUAUUCUCUUGUUCUCUAGGUGGUCCUUGUGGUCGCCUGAUUGCCAAAACUUGACCUUUAUUCCCUUGUUCUCCAGGUGGGCGCCUGAUUUCCAUAACUUGAACUAUAUUUCCUUGUUCUCCAGGUAGGCGCCUGAUUGCCAAAAACUUGAACUAUAUUCCCUUGUUCUCCAGGUAGGCACCUGAUUGCCAAAAACUUGAACUAUAUUCUUGUUCUCUAGGUGAGUGCUUGAUUUCCAAAAACUUCUACUGUAUUCCCUGGUUUUUCAGGUGGGCACCUGAUUGCCAAAACUUGAACUAUAUUCCCUUGUUCUCCAAGUGGGCGCCUAAUUGCCAAAACAUGAACUGUAAUCCCUUUUUCUCUAGGUGGGCGCCUGAUUGCCAAAAACUUGAACUGUAUUCCCUUGUUUUCUUGGUGGACCCCGGAUUGCCUAAACUUGAAUUGUAUACCCUUGUUCUCCAGGUGGGCGCCUGAUUGCCAUAACUUGAACUAUAUUUCCUUGUUCUCUAGGUGGGCGCUUGAUUGCCAAAAACAUGAACUAUAUUUCAUUGUUCUCCAGGUGGGCGCUUGAUUGCCAAGAACCUGAACUAUAUUUUCU